AACAUUACGGACGGCUCGCUGUAUUCUGGAGUAA
This 34-nucleotide small RNA is filed under the name Anaerobutyricum hallii. Its description in RNAcentral is "CRISPR_Spacer". The record is from RNAcentral. Lineage: Bacteria; Bacillati; Bacillota; Clostridia; Lachnospirales; Lachnospiraceae.